Molecule: ribosomal RNA, 492 nt
Filed under: uncultured bacterium
Lineage: Bacteria
Description: partial 16S ribosomal RNA
Rfam family: Bacterial small subunit ribosomal RNA
Source: RNAcentral
AGUGAACGCUGGCGGUAGGCCUAACACAUGCAAGUCGAACGGCAGCACAGUAAGAGCUUGCUCUUACGGGUGGCGAGUGGCGGACGAGUGAGGAAUACAUCGGAAUCUACUUGUUCGUGGGUGAUAACGUAGGGAAACUUACGCUAAUACCGCAUACGACCUACGGGGGAAAGCAGGGGAUCUUCGGACCUUGCGCGAUUGAAUGAGCCGAUGUCGGAUUAGCUAGUUGGCGGGGUAAAGGCCCACCAAGGCGACGAUCCGUAGCUGGUCUGAGAGGAUGAUCAGCCACACUGGAACUGAGACACGGUCCAGACUCCGACGGGAGGCAGCAGCGGGGAAUAUUGGACAAUGGGCGCAAGCCUGAUCCAGCCAUACCGCGUGGGUGAAGAAGGCCUUCUGGUUGUAAAGCCCUUUUGUUGGGAAAGAAAAGCAGCAGGUUAAUCCCCCGCUGUUCUGACGGUACCCAAAGAAUAAGCACCGGCUAACUUCGUG